RNAcentral lists this long non-coding RNA (308 nucleotides) under Setaria viridis. Its description in RNAcentral is "long non-coding RNA (SVIR_LNC010546)". Lineage: Eukaryota; Viridiplantae; Streptophyta; Magnoliopsida; Poales; Poaceae. The record is from RNAcentral.
UUAGGUCCUUACUUUCAAGUUUUAGCUCAGAUUCUAAGUUCAUUAACCAGUCUACAUUGGCAACUUACACUACGCAAACAUAGAUCCAACAUUAUGUAUAUAAGCUCAACAUCAAGACCGUGUCAUCAUCAGACUCCUUAUUUACUCAGUGUAGCAUAGCGAUCAAGCAGUCUCAAACUGUGAGAGGCAAACGAAUCAAUUCGAGUUCUUUAACCAUGCAUGGCGAACCUAACCUCACAACAUCCGCGCACCACCAAGGGUCGCUUUCUGUGUCGGCCAUCCCCAUCAAUUCCCUAACCCGUGUCGGG